UACGUAGGGUGCAAGCGUUGCCCGGAUUUAUUGGGCGUAAAGGGCGCGUAGGCGGCUCGGCACGUCCGUUGUGAAAUCGCCCGGCUCAACUGGGCGGGGUCAGCGGAUACGGUCGAGCUUGAGCAAGCUAGGGGGCAAUGGAAUUCCCGGUGUAGUGGUGGAAUGCGUAGAUAUCGGGAGGAACACCAGUGGCGAAGGCGGUCGCCUGGGGCUUUGCUGACGCUGAUGCGCGAAAGCGUGGGGAGCGAUCCGG
RNAcentral lists this ribosomal RNA (253 nucleotides) under uncultured bacterium. Its description in RNAcentral is "partial 16S ribosomal RNA". It matches the Rfam family "Bacterial small subunit ribosomal RNA", at positions 524 to 776 of the family's 1533-position model. The record is from RNAcentral.